CCUCGGGGGGCAGCAGUGAGGAAUAUUGGUCAAUGGGCUUACGCCUGAACCAGCCAAGUCGCGUGCGGGAAGACUGCCCUAUGGGUUGUAAACCUCUUUUGUCAGGGAGCAACGCCGGCUACGUGUAGCCGGACUGAGAGUACCUGAAGAAAAAGCAUCGGCUAACUCCGUGCCAGCAGCCGCGGUAAUACGGAGGAUGCGAGCGUUAUCCGGAUUUAUUUGGUUUAAAGGGUGCGUAGGCGGAAUGCUAAGUCAGCGGUAAAAUCGCGGGGCUCAACCUCGCUCCGCCCGUGAAACUGGCGUUCGUGAGUGGGCGAGAAGUAUGCUGAAUGCGUGGGG
Molecule: ribosomal RNA, 339 nt
Filed under: uncultured bacterium
Lineage: Bacteria
Description: partial 16S ribosomal RNA
Rfam family: Bacterial small subunit ribosomal RNA
Source: RNAcentral